This 134-nucleotide ribosomal RNA is filed under the name Lonchocarpus monticola. RNAcentral's name for it is "partial 5.8S ribosomal RNA". It matches the Rfam family "5.8S ribosomal RNA", at positions 27 to 154 of the family's 154-position model. From Rfam's summary of the family: 5.8S ribosomal RNA (5.8S rRNA) is a component of the large subunit of the eukaryotic ribosome. It is transcribed by RNA polymerase I as part of the 45S precursor that also contains 18S and 28S rRNA. Functionally, it is thought that 5.8S rRNA may be involved in ribosome translocation. The record is from RNAcentral. Lineage: Eukaryota; Viridiplantae; Streptophyta; Magnoliopsida; Fabales; Fabaceae.
UGCAUGCAUCGAUGACGAACGCAAAGAAAUGCGAUACUUGGUGUGAAAUGCAGAAUCCCGUCAACCAUUGAGUCUUUGAACGCAAGUUGCGCCCGAAGCCAUUAGGCCGAGGGCACGCCUGCCUGGGUGUCACA